AGCAGCCGCGGUAAUUCCAGCUCCAAUAGCGUAUAUUAAAGUUGUUGUGGUUAAAAAGCUCGUAGUUGAACCUUGGGCCUGGCUGGCCGGUCCGCCUCACCGCGUGUACUGGUCCAGCCGGGCCUUUCCCUCUGUGGAACCCCAUGCCCUUCACUGGGUGUGGCGGGGAAACAGGACUUUUACUUUGAAAAAAUUAGAGUGCUCCAGGCAGGCCUAUGCUCGAAUACAUUAGCAUGGAAUAAUAGAAUAGGACGUGUGGUUCUAUUUUGUUGGUUUCUAGGACCGCCGUAAUGAUUAAUAGGGACAGUCGGGGGCAUCAGUAUUCAAUUGUCAGAGGUGAAAUUCUUGGAUUUAUUGAAGACUAACUACUGCGAAAGCAUUUGCCAAGGAUGUUCUCAUUAAUCAGGAACGAAAGUUAGGGGAUCGAAGACGAUCAGAUACCGUCGUAGUCUUAACCAUAAACUAUGCCGACUAGGGAUCGGACGAUGU
This 489-nucleotide ribosomal RNA is filed under the name uncultured Paraglomus. RNAcentral's name for it is "SSU rRNA". It matches the Rfam family "Eukaryotic small subunit ribosomal RNA", at positions 569 to 1063 of the family's 1831-position model. The record is from RNAcentral. Lineage: Eukaryota; Fungi; Glomeromycota; Glomeromycetes; Paraglomerales; Paraglomeraceae.